Molecule: ribosomal RNA, 497 nt
Filed under: uncultured bacterium
Lineage: Bacteria
Description: partial 16S ribosomal RNA
Rfam family: Bacterial small subunit ribosomal RNA
Source: RNAcentral
GACGAACGCUGGCGGCGUGCCUAAUACAUGCAAGUUGAGCGCUGAAGGUUGGUACUUGUACCAACUGGAUGAGCAGCGAACGGGUGAGUAACGCGUGGGGCAUCUGCCUUUGAGCGGGGGACAACAUUUGGAAACGAAUGCUAAUACCGCAUAAAAACUUUAAACACAAGUUUUAAGUUUGAAUGAUGCUAUUGCAUCACUCAAAGAUGAUCCCGCGUUGUAUUAGCUAGUUGGUGAGGUAAAGGCUCACCAAGGCGAGGAUACAUAGCCGACCUGAGAGGGUGAGCGGCCACAUUGGGACGGAGACAGGGCCCAAACUCCUACGGGAGGCAGCAGUAGGGAAUCUUCGGCAAGAGACGAGAGUCUGACCGAGCAACGCCGCGUGAGUGAAGAAGGUUCUCGGAUCGGAAAACUCUGUUGGUAGAGAAGAACGUUGGUGAGAGUGGAAAGCUCAUAAAGUGACGGUAACUACACAGAAAGGGACGGCUAACUACGUG